UACGUAGGGGGCAAGCGUUGUCCGGAAUUAUUGGGCGUAAAGCGCGCGCAGGCGGCCUUGUAAGUCUAGUGUUUAAUCUCGGAGCUCAACUCCGAUUCGCACUGGAAACUGCAAAGCUUGAGUACAGAAGAGGAAAGUGGAAUUCCACGUGUAGCGGUGAAAUGCGUAGAGAUGUGGAGGAACACCAGUGGCGAAGGCGACUUUCUGGGCUGUAACUGACGCUGAGGCGCGAAAGCGUGGGGAGCAAACAGG
Molecule: ribosomal RNA, 252 nt
Filed under: uncultured bacterium
Lineage: Bacteria
Description: partial 16S ribosomal RNA
Rfam family: Bacterial small subunit ribosomal RNA
Source: RNAcentral